Molecule: ribosomal RNA, 260 nt
Filed under: uncultured bacterium
Lineage: Bacteria
Description: partial 16S ribosomal RNA
Rfam family: Bacterial small subunit ribosomal RNA
Source: RNAcentral
GUCCGCACUGUAAACGAUGAUCACUCGUUGUUGGCGAUACACAGUCAGCGACUAAGCGAAAGCAUUAAGUGAUCCACCUGGGGGAGUACGACCGCAAGGUUGAAACUCAAAGGAAUUGACGGGGGCCCGCACAAGCGGAGGAGCAUGUGGUUUAAUUCGAUGGUACGCGAGGAACCUUACCUGGGCUUGAAAGACUAAUGACAGUCUCUGAAAGGAGAUUUUCCGCAAGGACAGUAGUCUAGGUGCUGCAUGGCUGUCGU